Molecule: ribosomal RNA, 506 nt
Filed under: uncultured bacterium
Lineage: Bacteria
Description: partial 16S ribosomal RNA
Rfam family: Bacterial small subunit ribosomal RNA
Source: RNAcentral
AGUGAACGCUGGCGGUAGGCCUAACACAUGCAAGUCGAACGGCAGCACAGGAGAGCUUGCUCUCUGGGUGGCGAGUGGCGGACGGGUGAGGAAUACAUCGGAAUCUACUCUGUCGUGGGGGAUAACGUAGGGAAACUUACGCUAAUACCGCAUACGACCUACUGGUGAAAGCCGGGCACCUUCGCGCCUUGCGCGAAUGAAUGACCCGGUGUCGGAUUAGCUAGAUGGCGGGGUAAAGGCCCACCAAGGCGACGAGCCGGAGCUGGUCUGAGAGGAUGAGCAGCCACACUGGAACUGAGACACGGUCCAGACUCGUACGGGAGGCAGCAGUGGGGAAUAUUGGACAAUGGGCGCAAGCGUGAUCCAGCCAUACCGCGUGGGUGAAGAAGGCCUUCGGGUUGUAAAGCCCUUUUGUUGGGAAAGAAAUCCAGCUGGCUAAUACCCGGUUGGGAUGACGGUACCCAAAGAAUAAGCACCGGCUAACUUCGUGCCAGCCGCCGCCGUAA